Molecule: ribosomal RNA, 771 nt
Filed under: uncultured bacterium
Lineage: Bacteria
Description: bacterial SSU rRNA
Rfam family: Bacterial small subunit ribosomal RNA
Source: RNAcentral
AGAGUUUGAUCCUGGCUCAGGACGAACGCUGGCGGCGUGCUUAACACACGCAAGUCGAACGGAAAGGCCCUUCGGGGUACCCGAGUGGCGAACGGGUGAGUAACACGUGGGUGAUCUGCCCUGCACUUUGGGAUAAGCCUGGGAAACUGGGUCUAAUACCGAAUAUGACCAUGCACUUCCUGGUGUGUGGUGGAAAGCUUUUGCGGUGUGGGAUGGGCCCGCGGCCUAUCAGCUUGUUGGUGGGGUAAUGGCCUACCAAGGCGACGACGGGUAGCCGGCCUGAGAGGGUGACCGGCCACACUGGGACUGAGAUACGGCCCAGACUCCUACGGGAGGCAGCAGUGGGGAAUAUUGCACAAUGGGCGCAAGCCUGAUGCAGCGACGCCGCGUGAGGGAUGACGGCCUUCGGGUUGUAAACCUCUUUCAGCACAGACGAAGCGCAAGUGACGGUAUGUGCAGAAGAAGGACCGGCCAACUACGUGCCAGCAGCCGCGGUAAUACGUAGGGUCCGAGCGUUGUCCGGAAUUACUGGGCGUAAAGAGCUCGUAGGUGGUUUGUCGCGUUGUUCGUGAAAACUCACAGCUUAACUGUGGGCGUGCGGGCGAUACGGGCAGACUUGAGUACUGCAGGGGAGACUGGAAUUCCUGGUGUAGCGGUGGAAUGCGCAGAUAUCAGGAGGAACACCGGUGGCGAAGGCGGGUCUCUGGGCAGUAACUGACGCUGAGGAGCGAAAGCGUGGGGAGCGAACAGGAUUAGAUACCCUGGUAGUCC